RNAcentral lists this ribosomal RNA (522 nucleotides) under uncultured bacterium. Its description in RNAcentral is "bacterial SSU rRNA". It matches the Rfam family "Bacterial small subunit ribosomal RNA", at positions 988 to 1509 of the family's 1533-position model. The record is from RNAcentral.
CCAGAGAACUUAGCAGAGAUGCUUUGGUGCCUUCGGGGAACUCUGAGACAGGUGCUGCAUGGCUGUCGUCAGCUCGUGUUGUGAAAUGUUGGGUUAAGUCCCGCAACGAGCGCAACCCUUAUCCUUUGUUGCCAGCGGCUCGGCCGGGAACUCAAAGGAGACUGCCGGUGAUAAACCGGAGGAAGGUGGGGAUGACGUCAAGUCAUCAUGGCCCUUACGGCCAGGGCUACACACGUGCUACAAUGGCGCAUACAAAGAGAAGCGACCUCGCGAGAGCAAGCGGACCUCAUAAAGUGCGUCGUAGUCCGGAUUGGAGUCUGCAACUCGACUCCAUGAAGUCGGAAUCGCUAGUAAUCGUAGAUCAGAAUGCUACGGUGAAUACGUUCCCGGGCCUUGUACACACCGCCCGUCACACCAUGGGAGUGGGUUGCAAAAGAAGUAGGUAGCUUAACCUUCGGGAGGGCGCUUACCACUUUGUGAUUCAUGACUGGGGUGAAGUCGUAACAAGGUAGGCGUAGCGAG